UCCUCGAUAGCUCAGUCGGUAGAGCACUCGGCUGUUAACCGCGCUGUCGUAGGUUCGAGUCCUACUCGGGGAG
This 73-nucleotide transfer RNA is filed under the name Enterocloster sp. RNAcentral's name for it is "tRNA-Asn". It matches the Rfam family "tRNA". From Rfam's summary of the family: Transfer RNA (tRNA) molecules are approximately 80 nucleotides in length. Their secondary structure includes four short double-helical elements and three loops (D, anti-codon, and T loops). Lineage: Bacteria; Bacillati; Bacillota; Clostridia; Lachnospirales; Lachnospiraceae. The record is from RNAcentral.